Molecule: ribosomal RNA, 253 nt
Filed under: uncultured bacterium
Lineage: Bacteria
Description: partial 16S ribosomal RNA
Rfam family: Bacterial small subunit ribosomal RNA
Source: RNAcentral
UACGGAGGGUGCGAGCGUUAAUCGGAAUAACUGGGCGUAAAGGGCACGCAGGCGGGCUUUUAAGUGAGAUGUGAAAUCCCCGGGCUCAACCUGGGAACUGCAUCUGAUACUGGCAAGCUUGAGUCUCGUAGAGGGGGGUAGAAUUCCAGGUGUAGCGGUGAAAUGCGUAGAAAUAUGGAGGAACACCGGUGGCGAAAGCGGCUCUCUGGUCUGUAACUGACACUGAGGCACGAAAGCGUGGGUAGCAAACAGG